GGAUUGACACGACUCUCGGCAAUGGAUAUCUCGGCUCUCGCAUCGAUGAAGAGCGCAGCGAAAUGCGAUAUGUGGUGCGAAUUGCAGAAUCCCGCGAACCAUCGAGUCUUUGAACGCAAGUUGCGCCCAAGGCCAACCUCCCAAGGGCACGUCUGCCUGGGCGUCAAG
RNAcentral lists this ribosomal RNA (168 nucleotides) under Dendrobium chrysanthum. RNAcentral's name for it is "5.8S ribosomal RNA". It matches the Rfam family "5.8S ribosomal RNA". From Rfam's summary of the family: 5.8S ribosomal RNA (5.8S rRNA) is a component of the large subunit of the eukaryotic ribosome. It is transcribed by RNA polymerase I as part of the 45S precursor that also contains 18S and 28S rRNA. The record is from RNAcentral. Lineage: Eukaryota; Viridiplantae; Streptophyta; Magnoliopsida; Asparagales; Orchidaceae.